This 301-nucleotide ribosomal RNA is filed under the name uncultured bacterium. RNAcentral describes it as "partial 16S ribosomal RNA". It matches the Rfam family "Bacterial small subunit ribosomal RNA", at positions 509 to 807 of the family's 1533-position model. The record is from RNAcentral.
CAGCAGCCGCGGGAACACGAAGGGGGCUAGCGUUGUUCGGAAUUACUGGGCGUAAAGCGCACGUAGGCGGACAUUUAAGUCAGGGGUGAAAUCCCGGGGCUCAACCCCGGAACUGCCUUUGAUACUGGGUGUCUAGAGUAUGGAAGAGGUGAGUGGAAUUCCGAGUGUAGAGGUGAAAUUCGUAGAUAUUCGGAGGAACACCAGUGGCGAAGGCGGCUCACUGGUCCAUUACUGACGCUGAGGUGCGAAAGCGUGGGGAGCAAACAGGAUUAGAUACCCGGGUAGUCCCUGUCUCUUAUAC